Molecule: ribosomal RNA, 497 nt
Filed under: uncultured bacterium
Lineage: Bacteria
Description: partial 16S ribosomal RNA
Rfam family: Bacterial small subunit ribosomal RNA
Source: RNAcentral
GAUGAACGCUGGCGGCGUGCCUAAUACAUGCUAGUCGAGCGAACAGACGAGGAGCUUGCUCCUCUGACGUUAGCGGCGGACGGGUGAGUAACACGUGGAUAACCUACCUAUAAGACUGGGAUAACUUCGGGAAACCGGAGCUAAUACCGGAUAAUAUAUUGAACCGCAUGGUUCAAUAGUGAAAGACGGUUUUGCUGUCACUUAUAGAUGGAUCCGCGCCGCAUUAGCUAGUUGGUAAGGUAACGGCUUACCAAGGCAACGAUGCGUAGCCGACCUGAGAGGGUGAUCGGCCACACUGGAACUGAGCCACGGUCCAGACUCCUACGGGAGGCAGCAGUAGGGAAUCUUCCGCAAUGGGCGAAAGCCUGACGGAGCAACGCCGCGUGAGUGAUGAAGGUCUUCGGAUCGUAAAACUCUGUUAUUAGGGAAGAACAAAUGUGUAAGUAACUAUGCACGUCUUGACGGUACCUAAUCAGAAAGCCACGGCUAACUACGUG